UACGUAGGAGGCGAGCGUUGUCCGGAGUUACUGGGCGUAAAGGGUGCGCAGGUGGCCGUGCGCGUGGGGAGUGAAAUCGCCUGGCUUAACUGGGGGCGUGCGGGCGAUACGGGCAGACUGGAGUACUGCAGGGGAGACUGGAAUUCCUGGUGUAGCGGUGGAAUGCGCAGAUAUCAGGAGGAACACCGGUGGCGAAGGCGGGUCUCUGGGCAGUAACUGACGCUGAGGAGCGAAAGCGUGGGGAGCGAACAGG
Molecule: ribosomal RNA, 253 nt
Filed under: uncultured bacterium
Lineage: Bacteria
Description: partial 16S ribosomal RNA
Rfam family: Bacterial small subunit ribosomal RNA
Source: RNAcentral